Molecule: long non-coding RNA, 252 nt
Filed under: Linum usitatissimum (flax)
Lineage: Eukaryota; Viridiplantae; Streptophyta; Magnoliopsida; Malpighiales; Linaceae
Description: long non-coding RNA (LUSI_LNC005060)
Source: RNAcentral
UGAUAGAGUUUGGGUGUCUGGUAACUCGGAGAUUUUAGGUUUGAAUUCAGCACACAUCAUGAAUAGAAAUUAAUAUAGUAAAUUUCAUGUCUUCUAUUUUAUACUGAGUUUCGGUUUAGUCCGACAAAAAAAUCAUUUGGUCAAUACAAAAUAAUAAAAAAUAAAAAAAAAUUAAACUGUACAAUGGUAUUUAUUUGUAGAAUAUGCUGGAUUUGAAAAAAAAAACCUUCAAUUGGACAACUCCAUUUAUAU